This 226-nucleotide small nucleolar RNA is filed under the name Lynx canadensis (Canada lynx). RNAcentral describes it as "Small nucleolar RNA ZL1 (ENSLCNG00005018174.1)". It matches the Rfam family "Small nucleolar RNA ZL1". Rfam says of the family: Host gene TRRAP. Predicted target U2@U47. Only GU-rich region is homologous to other known snoRNAs. The record is from Rfam by way of RNAcentral. Lineage: Eukaryota; Metazoa; Chordata; Mammalia; Carnivora; Felidae.
GGAGAAGCAAAGUGAUGAGCAUUGCUGGCUGGAGCCCCAAAGAGGCACACGUGUGUGUGUGUGUGUGUGUGUGUGUGUGUGUGUAUGUAUGUAUAUAUCUGUGCCCUUGUCUGUGCAUGCACACGUAUGUCUGGGAGUAUGAGUGUGUGUGUGACUGGUGGUAGGGAACUAGUUAUGUGCCUUCUGUUGGACCAUGACAGUCAAACUGAUAAGAUCUGAUUGCUUC